Long non-coding RNA from Megalobrama amblycephala (Wuchang bream), 1574 nucleotides. RefSeq lists it as uncharacterized. Lineage: Eukaryota; Metazoa; Chordata; Actinopteri; Cypriniformes; Xenocyprididae. The transcript is spliced from 5 exons. The record is from RefSeq and is a predicted model, not a curated record.
AUUUCAAUUUAUUACACGAAAUGUUAACGGCUGUUUUUUGUCGGCCAAUCACGUCACGCCUCUCGUCUUUUCAAACUGCGGCGGAUCGCGCUCUUUUCACUCCGGCCUGGUUUGAGGGGAAUCGCGAUGCUUUGGACCGUUCCGUAAGUUACGGUAGAUAAUACUUGUUAAAAUGCGUAGUGCUGAAAAAAACGAUCAUAGAAAUAGUUAGCUAACAAAUAUGUUGUUAAUUAGUUGGAGAGUGGCGACGUGCGUCGAGCAGUGUAGCGUUAGUGAAGUGUUAGCCAGGCAGAGCGCACGACAAGCUGCCCAGCACACCAGAUCAUUAUAAACAACUAAAAGAGUGCAUUAUAAGUGAAGGAUUUAACGUGGAGCGUUUGCUUUGCUGCAUCAGGUACGUUCACAGUGCUCCUGUGAUGUGUUUUGCGGUUGACCGAGUGAAAUGUUGUCUGUUCUCAUCGCAUUACUUUCUACGGUAUGAAUUUUCUUCAAGGACGUUGUCAAGAAUUUGAUUUGAUGUUGACAGAGAUGAAGGAGCACAGGAGCCCUACCACAAAUGCUGGAGAGUGCCGUCAAAUCCAGCAGUGAAGAUGAACAUCUAAGGGGACUCCCACAAUGGCUUGAGUACUAAUGCUGCUCAGAUAUGCUGUGUGUAUGGAAAGACUGAGGAGUUGAAAGCUGAUUCUACCCUGGAAAGGAGUAAUUUUCUCUUUUAGAGGGGAUGGAAGACCAAGCAGAUACUAUAUUAAAAAGUGCUACACAAUGAUGGUUGUUCUUGCAUAUCUUCUGCCACCGUUGCCUGGAAGUCGAUGCAAUGUUAAAUCUGAAAUUUAAUUUCUUUCAAUUUAAUUUUGUACCGCGUGGAGCCACUAUUGCAUCCCUCUGCAGCAGUUUUGAGACCGCAUCAAAGACCAGACCACAGCCGAUCUACAUUGGAAGUUUGAAGAGCACAACAUGACAGUACAUCAUUAUGAGGAUUGACAGACUAACCAUUCCUGUGGAUGAGGGCCUGAUGUGCUGUGGACAAUAUAUUCUAGGUGUGAAACUUGUCCUGUCCACCACAGAUUAGUUUGGUCUUUUCUUUCUAAGACUGGAGCAUCUAAUAUUGAAACACCACAUUCUCUUCUUUUUAAAACUGACAUUGUUUCGCUAGAAAACAACCUCUUCUUCAGCUGUGAUCGCGUACAGCCCGUUUAAACACUUCAAAGACUUUUGAAACUGCAUUGAUUUGGACUUAAAAACGAUGGUAACCAAUGAACUCCAUUGUUAGAAGAAAAAUCCAGAAAUGUUUUCCUCAAAAAACAAAAUUUCUCUCCCACUGAGGAAAGAAAGACAUGGAUAUCUUGGAUGGCAUUGGGUGAGUAAAUUAUUAGGAAAUUUUCUUUUUGGGGUGAACUAAUCCUUUAAGCAUACAAUGAACACUCACAGUAGCUUUUAGUCAAUAUAAAGCGUUAUGUUAUCUUAUGUUAUGUUAUGUUCUUACACUGCAUUAAGUAAUGCAUUCAUAAAGUGAUUCUCUAUUAAAGUUGUUUAAAUGUGAAAAACUUUGUUUAUUAAAGUUUAUUGCAAACGAA